This is a long non-coding RNA of Argiope bruennichi, 465 nucleotides long. RefSeq lists it as uncharacterized. NCBI's taxonomy places the organism in Eukaryota, Metazoa, Arthropoda, Arachnida, Araneae, Araneidae. The transcript is spliced from 3 exons. The record is from RefSeq and is a predicted model, not a curated record.
UAGCAGUUCAGAAAAUGGACUUCCCGUUUUCGAUUUUGUUUUUUAAUUGAGUAAAAACAUUAAUUUCAUGAACGGAGUUAAAAUUAAAUUAUUACAAAUACGAAUAUAUAUAUAUAUGCGGAUCUAAUGAGUUAAAAAAAUCCAGCUCACGUGACACCAUUGUCAUUGGCGGAUUAUCAUCUAGACAGCUGGGUUAUGAUUUGCCACAGGUAAGCACAGUUUACAGAGUCUGCACCAUUUAAAAUGGCCUGUGUACUUCGAUAUGUGGAUAAUUAAGACUAUUUAAUGGGUCAUAUAUCACUGUGAAGAAUGAUCGAUCGAAGCAUGCUGCAUUCUGCAAUUUAUAAUACCAAUAUGAGAGGGAAGACACCUCCUAAACGGUAGGGAGGACAAAGAGAUUUUUCUCCCUGCUACUUCCAUAUAAAAGAUUCAGGAAGGAUGGAAUAUUUCAUGACUAGACGGUGG